Molecule: ribosomal RNA, 713 nt
Filed under: Staphylococcus aureus
Lineage: Bacteria; Bacillati; Bacillota; Bacilli; Caryophanales; Staphylococcaceae
Description: bacterial SSU rRNA
Rfam family: Bacterial small subunit ribosomal RNA
Source: RNAcentral
AGUCGAGCGAACAGACAAGGAGCUUGCUCCUUUGACGUUAGCGGCGGACGGGUGAGUAACACGUGGGUAACCUACCUAUAAGACUGGGAUAACUUCGGGAAACCGGAGCUAAUACCGGAUAAUAUUUCGAACCGCAUGGUUCGAUAGUGAAAGAUGGUUUUGCUAUCACUUAUAGAUGGACCCGCGCCGUAUUAGCUAGUUGGUAAGGUAACGGCUUACCAAGGCGACGAUACGUAGCCGACCUGAGAGGGUGAUCGGCCACACUGGAACUGAGACACGGUCCAGACUCCUACGGGAGGCAGCAGUAGGGAAUCUUCCGCAAUGGGCGAAAGCCUGACGGAGCAACGCCGCGUGAGUGAUGAAGGUCUUCGGAUCGUAAAACUCUGUUAUUAGGGAAGAACAUACGUGUAAGUAACUAUGCACGUCUUGACGGUACCUAAUCAGAAAGCCACGGCUAACUACGUGCCAGCAGCCGCGGUAAUACGUAGGUGGCAAGCGUUAUCCGGAAUUAUUGGGCGUAAAGCGCGCGUAGGCGGUUUUUUAAGUCUGAUGUGAAAGCCCACGGCUCAACCGUGGAGGGUCAUUGGAAACUGGAAAACUUGAGUGCAGAAGAGGAAAGUGGAAUUCCAUGUGUAGCGGUGAAAUGCGCAGAGAUAUGGAGGAACACCAGUGGCGAAGGCGACUUUCUGGUCUGUAACUGACGCUGAUGUGCG